RNAcentral lists this long non-coding RNA (725 nucleotides) under Serinus canaria (Common canary). Its description in RNAcentral is "lncRNA (ENSSCAG00000007975.1)". Lineage: Eukaryota; Metazoa; Chordata; Aves; Passeriformes; Fringillidae. The record is from RNAcentral.
GCAUGUGAAGCUGGUAAACCUGAGACCUUUAAAUCCUUCCAACCUGGAAAAAUGAAUACACCUGCUUGGACAAGGAAACCUAUGUUCAACACAGUGCUUUUUUUCCUCUUUCUUUAACAAUGCUGUCUACUAAAGUGAUGCCAGAAAGUGCUACCUGAAGCUGCAGUUGAUUUUGAUUGCGCUGGCAUGGUGAAUGCACACCCAGGAAGUUCUGAAUGUAGAGGACCUAAUUACUGUAUUAACGUGUAAAUAAGUUAACAGCUACAUGGAUUAACAAAAAUAUGAAUGUUCUGUGAAAAAAAAAGAGCAUUGCCAGAAAUGAUGUUGACUUUAUAUUGUGCAAGAUAAAGGUCACUGAUUGUUACACUGCGUUGUGGUAGGAAUCCAAUCCCAAAAGAAAGUCAAACCACUUGGGAUGGGACAGUAGUUAAUAUUUUGCAGUUGUACAAACUAGUUGGAGAUCAUGAACAGUUGUUUUCAGUUCCUUCAGCAGUAAGCUUCAGGAACUGAAGUUGUUGCAAAAUUUGUUGUGUUGGGCGUGUUUGAUGUCAACUGGAGUUAAAGAGUAUUCCCUCUUCACUGGAGCCCAGAGCAUUUCUGUGCUGAAUAAACCAGUCCAAACACCAUAACCAGCUGUGGCAUCAGUUAAGGUCUUGUGUAUCUGGCAAGGAGAUCUGGAUAGAUUUACAGAAUUUAUAUCAAUAAACCGUCUCACUUCCCAGGCA